GCAGUCUGCAACUCGACUGCACGAAGCUGGAAUCGCUAGUAAUCGCGGAUCAGCACGCCGCGGUGAAUACGUUCCCGGGCCUUGUACACACCGCCCGUCACACCAUGAGAGUCGGGAACACCCGAAGUCCGUAGCCUAACCGCAAGGGGGGCGCGGCCGAAGGUGGGUUCGAUAAUUGGGUGAAGUCGUAACAAGGUACC
This 200-nucleotide ribosomal RNA is filed under the name uncultured bacterium. Its description in RNAcentral is "partial 16S ribosomal RNA". It matches the Rfam family "Bacterial small subunit ribosomal RNA", at positions 1300 to 1500 of the family's 1533-position model. The record is from RNAcentral.